This 663-nucleotide ribosomal RNA is filed under the name Streptomyces sp. Its description in RNAcentral is "bacterial SSU rRNA". It matches the Rfam family "Bacterial small subunit ribosomal RNA", at positions 108 to 785 of the family's 1533-position model. Lineage: Bacteria; Bacillati; Actinomycetota; Actinomycetes; Kitasatosporales; Streptomycetaceae. The record is from RNAcentral.
GAGUAACACGUGGGCAAUCUGCCCUUCACUCUGGGACAAGCCCUGGAAACGGGGUCUAAUACCGGAUGACACCGGCCGCCGCAUGGCGGCCGGUUGAAAGCUCCGGCGGUGAAGGAUGAGCCCGCGGCCUAUCAGCUUGUUGGUGGGGUAAUGGCCUACCAAGGCGACGACGGGUAGCCGGCCUGAGAGGGCGACCGGCCACACUGGGACUGAGACACGGCCCAGACUCCUACGGGAGGCAGCAGUGGGGAAUAUUGCACAAUGGGCGAAAGCCUGAUGCAGCGACGCCGCGUGAGGGACGACGGCCUUCGGGUUGUAAACCUCUUUCAGCAGGGAAGAAGCGCAAGUGACGGUACCUGCAGAAGAAGCGCCGGCUAACUACGUGCCAGCAGCCGCGGUAAUACGUAGGGCGCAAGCGUUGUCCGGAAUUAUUGGGCGUAAAGAGCUCGUAGGCGGCUUGUCACGUCGGGUGUGAAAGCCCGGGGCUUAACCCCGGGUCUGCAUCCGAUACGGGCAGGCUAGAGUGUGGUAGGGGAGAUCGGAAUUCCUGGUGUAGCGGUGAAAUGCGCAGAUAUCAGGAGGAACACCGGUGGCGAAGGCGGAUCUCUGGGCCAUUACUGACGCUGAGGAGCGAAAGCGUGGGGAGCGAACAGGAUUAGAUAC